This 158-nucleotide ribosomal RNA is filed under the name Fusarium oxysporum. Its description in RNAcentral is "5.8S ribosomal RNA". It matches the Rfam family "5.8S ribosomal RNA". From Rfam's summary of the family: 5.8S ribosomal RNA (5.8S rRNA) is a component of the large subunit of the eukaryotic ribosome. It is transcribed by RNA polymerase I as part of the 45S precursor that also contains 18S and 28S rRNA. RNAcentral also lists the same sequence under 11 other names. Lineage: Eukaryota; Fungi; Ascomycota; Sordariomycetes; Hypocreales; Nectriaceae. The record is from RNAcentral.
AACUUUCAACAACGGAUCUCUUGGUUCUGGCAUCGAUGAAGAACGCAGCAAAAUGCGAUAAGUAAUGUGAAUUGCAGAAUUCAGUGAAUCAUCGAAUCUUUGAACGCACAUUGCGCCCGCCAGUAUUCUGGCGGGCAUGCCUGUUCGAGCGUCAUUUC